ACUGAACUGGGACAGGAACGUGACUGGACUGUACUGGAACCUGGACAGGAACGUGACUGGACUGUACUGGAACCUGGACAGGAACGUGACUGGACUGUACUGGAACCUGGACAGGAACGUGACUCGACUGUACUGGGGCCGGAACAGGAACGUGACUCGACUGAACUGGGGCCGGAACAGGAACAGGACUCGACUGAACUGGGGCCGGAACAGGAACAGGACUCGACUGAACUGGGGCCGGAACAGGACUCGACUGAACUGGGGCCGGAACAGGACUCGACUGACCUGGGGCCGGAACAGGACUCGACUGACCUGGGGCCGGAACAGGACUCGACUGACCUGGGGCCGGAACAGGACUCGACUGAACUGGGGCCGGAACUGGGCUCGACUGAACUGGGCUCGACUGAACUGGGCUCGACUGAACUGGGCUCGACUGAACUGGGCUCGACUGAACUGGGCUCGACUGAACUGGAGACUGAACUGCGCGCGGCUGGCCUGGAGACUGAACAGCGCGCGGCUGGCCUGGAGACUGAACAGCGCGCGGCUGGCCUGGAGACUGAACAGCGCGCGGCUGGCCUGGAGACUGAACAGCGCGCGGCUGGCCUGGAGACUGAACAGCGCGCGGCUGGCCUGGAGACUGAACAGCGCGCGGCUGGCCGGGAGACUGAACAGCGCGCGGCUGGCCGGGAGACUGAACAGCGCGCGGCUGGCCUGGAGACUGAACAGCGCGCGGCUGGCCUGGAGACUGAACAGCGCGCGGCUGGACUGGAGACUGAACAGCGCGCGGCUGGACUGGAGACUGAACAGCGCGCGGCUGGACUGGAGACUGAACAGCGCGCGGCUGGACUGGAGACUGAACAGAACGUGACUGGGCGGAGACCUGAGCAUGGCAAGGCUGAGCUGGAACCUGAACGAGGGGCGACUGAACUACGACUGGAGUCUGAACAGGACAUGGCUGCACUAGGGCUGGAGACUGAGCGUGGCUUGACUGACCUGACUGAGAGGUGGGACAUGAAGCGGCUGCUGGCUGCAGGCCCGGGAGUUGCAGGACCUCUCGCAGGACAGGUUCCCUCAGGACGAGAGCGGCUGCUUCCUCGAACAGUUGUUCUCUCGUGCCCUGGUCUGCUGCCGAAUCGGCGGUGUUCAGGAGGUGGGCAAAGAGGAACGUAA
Molecule: long non-coding RNA, 1170 nt
Filed under: Betta splendens (Siamese fighting fish)
Lineage: Eukaryota; Metazoa; Chordata; Actinopteri; Anabantiformes; Osphronemidae
Description: lncRNA (ENSBSLG00000025179.1)
Source: RNAcentral